RNAcentral lists this ribosomal RNA (759 nucleotides) under uncultured archaeon. RNAcentral describes it as "bacterial SSU rRNA". It matches the Rfam family "Archaeal small subunit ribosomal RNA", at positions 110 to 879 of the family's 1478-position model. The record is from RNAcentral.
CCACUUAGGGAGGAGUACCCCGGAACUGGGGAUAAUACCCCAUAGAUUAGGGAUGCUGGAAUGCUCCUUAGUUCAAAGGUCCGCCGCCACAGGAUGGGUCUGCGGCCGAUUAGGUUGUUGUUGGGGUAACGGCCCAACAAGCCUUUGAUCGGUACGGGUUGUGGGAGCAAGAGCCCGGAGAUGGAUUCUGAGACACGAAUCCAGGCCCUACGGGGCGCAGCAGGCGCGAAAACUUUACAAUGCGAGAAAUCGUGAUAAGGGAACCCCGAGUGCCCGUAAAUUCGGGCUGUCCACCAGUGUAAAUAACUGGUGAAGAAAGGGCCGGGCAAGACCGGUGCCAGCCGCCGCGGUAAUACCGGCGGCUCGAGUGGUGGCCACUAUUACUGGGCUUAAAGCGUCCGUAGCUGGGUUGUUAAGUCUCCUGGGAAAUCCAUCGGCUCAACCGAUGGGCGUUCAGGAGAUACUGGCAACCUAGGGACCGGGAGAGGUGAGAGGUACUCCAGGGGUAGGAGUGAAAUCCUGUAAUCCUUGGGGGACCACCUGUGGCGAAGGCGUCUCACCAGAACGGCUCCGACAGUGAGGGACGAAAGCUGGGGGAGCAAACCGGAUUAGAUACCCGGGUAGUCCCAGCUGUAAACGAUGCGCGUUAGGUGUAUCGGUGACCACGAGUCACCGAGGUGCCGAAGGGAAACCGUGAAACGUGCCGCCUGGGAAGUACGGUCGCAAGGCUGAAACUUAAAGGAAUUGGCGGGGGAGCAC